AUGAACGCUGGCGGCGUGCCUAAUACCUGCAAGUCGAGCGAUCAGACGAGGAGCUUGCUCCUCUGACGUUAGCGGCGGACGGGUGAGUAACACGUGGAUAACCUACCUAUAAGACUGGGAUAACUUCGGGAAACCGGAGCUAAUACCGGAUAAUAUAUUGAACCGCAUGGUUCAAUAGUGAAAGACGGUUUUGCUGUCACUUAUAGAUGGAUCCGCGCCGCAUUAGCUAGUUGGUAAGGUAACGGCUUACCAAGGCAACGAUGCGUAGCCGACCUGAGAGGGUGAUCGGCCACACUGGAACUGAGACACGGUCCAGACUCCUACGGGAGGCAGCAGUAGGGAAUCUUCCGCAAUGGGCGAAAGCCUGACGGAGCAACGCCGCGUGAGUGAUGAAGGUCUUCGGAUCGUAAAACUCUGUUAUUAGGGAAGAACAAAUGUGUAAGUAACUAUGCACGUCUGGACGGUACCUAAUCAGAAAGCCACGGCUAACUACGU
This 495-nucleotide ribosomal RNA is filed under the name uncultured bacterium. Its description in RNAcentral is "partial 16S ribosomal RNA". It matches the Rfam family "Bacterial small subunit ribosomal RNA", at positions 29 to 506 of the family's 1533-position model. The record is from RNAcentral.